RNAcentral lists this ribosomal RNA (274 nucleotides) under uncultured bacterium. Its description in RNAcentral is "partial 16S ribosomal RNA". It matches the Rfam family "Bacterial small subunit ribosomal RNA", at positions 523 to 796 of the family's 1533-position model. The record is from RNAcentral.
AGACGGAGGGGGCUAGCGUUAUUCGGAAUUACUGGGCGUAAAGGGCGCGUAGGCGGAUUAGUAAGUUGGGAGUGAAAGCCCGGGGCUUAACCUCGGAACUGCUUUCAAAACUGCUAGUCUUGAGUGAAGUAGGGGGUGAUGGAAUUCCUAGUGUAGAGGUGAAAUUCUUAGAUAUUAGGAGGAACACCGGUGGCGAAGGCGGUCACCUGGACUCCAACUGACGCUGAGGCGCGAAAGCGUGGGGAGCAAACAGGAUUAGAAACCCUAGUAGUCC